AUUGAACGCUGGCGGCAGGCCUAACACAUGCAAGUCGAGCGGAUGAAGGGAGCUUGCUCCUGGAUUCAGCGGCGGACGGGUGAGUAAUGCCUAGGAAUCUGCCUGGUAGUGGGGGAUAACGUCCGGGAACGGGCGCUAAUACCGCAUACGUCCUGAGGGGGAAAGUGGGGGAUCUUCGGACCUCACGCUAUCAGAUGAGCCUAGGUCGGAUUAGCUAGUUGGUGGGGUAAAGGCCUACCAAGGCGACGAUCCGUAACUGGUCUGAGAGGAUGAUCGGUCACACUGGAACUGAGACACGGUCCAGACUCCUACGGGAGGCAGCAGUGGGGAAUAUUGGACAAUGGGCGAAAGCCUGAUCCAGCCAUGCCGCGUGUGUGAAGAAGGUCUUCGGAUUGUAAAGCACUUUAAGUUGGGAGGAAGGGCAGUAAGUUAAUACCUUGCUGUUUUGACGUUACCAACAGAAUAAGCACCGGCUAACUUCGUG
Molecule: ribosomal RNA, 484 nt
Filed under: uncultured bacterium
Lineage: Bacteria
Description: partial 16S ribosomal RNA
Rfam family: Bacterial small subunit ribosomal RNA
Source: RNAcentral